This 253-nucleotide ribosomal RNA is filed under the name uncultured bacterium. RNAcentral's name for it is "partial 16S ribosomal RNA". It matches the Rfam family "Bacterial small subunit ribosomal RNA", at positions 524 to 776 of the family's 1533-position model. The record is from RNAcentral.
UACGUAGGGGGCAAGCGUUGUCCGGAAUCAUUGGGCGUAAAGAGCGUGUAGGCGGUCCGGUCAGUCGGUUGUGAAAGUCAAGGGCUCAACCCUUGAAUGCCGGCCGAUACUGCCGGGCUAGAGUCCGGAAGAGGUGAGUGGAAUUCCUGGUGUAGCGGUGGAAUGCGCAGAUAUCAGGAGGAACACCGAUGGCGAAGGCAGCUCGCUGGGACGGUACUGACGCUGAGGCGCGAAAGCGUGGGGAGCAAACAGG